GCAGCGAAAUGCGAUAAGUAAUGUGAAUUGCAGAAUUCAGUGAAUCAUCGAAUCUUUGAACGCACCUUGCGCCCUUUGGCUAUUCCGAAGGGCAUGCCUGUUUGAGUAUCAUGAACACCUCAACUCUCAUGGUCCGCCAUGAUGAGCUUGGACUUUGGGGGUCUUGCUGGCCUAGUGUCGGCUCCUCUCAAAUGGAUCAGCUUGCCAGUGUUUGGUGGCGUCACAGGUGUGAUAACUAUCUACGCUUGUGGUUUCCACCAUGCAACCUUCAGUGAUGGAGGUUCGCUGGAGCUCACAGAUGUCUCUCCUUGGGGAGGACAGCCUUUUGAACGUUUGAUCUCAAAUCAGGUAGGACUACCCGCUGAACUUAAGCAUAUCAAUAAGCGGAGGAAAAGAAACU
RNAcentral lists this ribosomal RNA (400 nucleotides) under uncultured fungus. RNAcentral's name for it is "eukaryotic LSU rRNA". The stretch from base 1 to 111 matches the Rfam family "5.8S ribosomal RNA", at positions 45 to 154 of the family's 154-position model. Lineage: Eukaryota; Fungi. The record is from RNAcentral.